AACGCUCAAACAAGAUGGAUUUGUUUCUAUCUCUGUUUGGAUCUGGGCUUUGCUGUGUCAAUGCGGCUGGUCUUAAAUAUAUUAGCUGGUCCUAGUGAAGGGUCUGGUUCUACUCAGCAUGAUAAUUAUCUGAUGUUGAGGACAGUCUCAGGACUGGCCAGGCUUUCUGUGGAUUGCUUCUAAUUGUCUUUGGACAGAUUACUUAGU
RNAcentral lists this unclassified non-coding RNA (207 nucleotides) under uncultured fungus. Its description in RNAcentral is "sequence contains ITS2". Lineage: Eukaryota; Fungi. The record is from RNAcentral.